RNAcentral lists this ribosomal RNA (683 nucleotides) under Salmonella enterica subsp. enterica serovar Newport. RNAcentral's name for it is "partial 23S ribosomal RNA". It matches the Rfam family "Bacterial large subunit ribosomal RNA", at positions 2174 to 2851 of the family's 2925-position model. The record is from RNAcentral. Lineage: Bacteria; Pseudomonadati; Pseudomonadota; Gammaproteobacteria; Enterobacterales; Enterobacteriaceae.
GUCUGCAUGGAGCCGGCCUUGAAAUACCACCCUUUAAUGUUUGAUGUUCUAACGUGGACCCGUAAUCCGGGUUGCGGACAGUGUCUGGUGGGUAGUUUGACUGGGGCGGUCUCCUCCUAAAGAGUAACGGAGGAGCACGAAGGUUGGCUAAUCCUGGUCGGACAUCAGGAGGUUAGUGCAAUGGCAUAAGCCAGCUUGACUGCGAGCGUGACGGCGCGAGCAGGUGCGAAAGCAGGUCAUAGUGAUCCGGUGGUUCUGAAUGGAAGGGCCAUCGCUCAACGGAUAAAAGGUACUCCGGGGAUAACAGGCUGAUACCGCCCAAGAGUUCAUAUCGACGGCGGUGUUUGGCACCUCGAUGUCGGCUCAUCACAUCCUGGGGCUGAAGUAGGUCCCAAGGGUAUGGCUGUUCGCCAUUUAAAGUGGUACGCGAGCUGGGUUUAGAACGUCGUGAGACAGUUCGGUCCCUAUCUGCCGUGGGCGCUGGAGAACUGAGGGGGGCUGCUCCUAGUACGAGAGGACCGGAGUGGACGCAUCACUGGUGUUCGGGUUGUCAUGCCAAUGGCACUGCCCGGUAGCUAAAUGCGGAAGAGAUAAGUGCUGAAAGCAUCUAAGCACGAAACUUGCCCCGAGAUGAGUUCUCCCUGAGACUUUAGGUCUCCUGAAGGAACGUUGAAGACGACGAC